This 253-nucleotide ribosomal RNA is filed under the name uncultured bacterium. Its description in RNAcentral is "partial 16S ribosomal RNA". It matches the Rfam family "Bacterial small subunit ribosomal RNA", at positions 524 to 776 of the family's 1533-position model. The record is from RNAcentral.
UACGUAGGUGGCAAGCGUUGUCCGGAAUUAUUGGGCGUAAAGCGCGCGCAGGCGGUCCUUUAAGUCUGAUGUGAAAGCCCACGGCUCAACCGUGGAGGGUCAUUGGAAACUGGGGGACUUGAGUACAGAAGAGAAGAGUGGAAUUCCACGUGUAGCGGUGAAAUGCGUAGAGAUGUGGAGGAACACCAGUGGCGAAGGCGACCCUUUGGUCUGUAACUGACGCUGAGGCGCGAAAGCGUGGGGAGCAAACAGG